This 794-nucleotide long non-coding RNA is filed under the name Cicer arietinum (chickpea). RNAcentral's name for it is "long non-coding RNA (CARI_LNC002073)". Lineage: Eukaryota; Viridiplantae; Streptophyta; Magnoliopsida; Fabales; Fabaceae. The record is from RNAcentral.
ACAAAUGUAAUUCUCUUUCGAUGACAUCGAAAAAUAUGAAAAUAAAAUAGUGAUAAAAAAAGUUUUAAAGUUACAAAUUUAACAAACUAUAUUAAGUACCUUAAGAAGACAUCUCAAGCAAAAUUAUUCAAUCAUAUAGAUGCCCACAACAUAUGUAGUAACAGUUGUUUGUAUCCAAUAUAUUCUUUUUAUUGGAGGUAAUCUUGUUUAUUGGUUGUUGAUUAUAAUUUAUUGUAGAGUUUCCUUAUUUGAAUUGUUGAUCAUGGAAUUUUGUUGUUUUUUGUUUUUGUGUAUUAAAAUUUAUUUUAAAAUUGUAUAUUGGAUGAAGAUGGCUCUUAUUGCUCUCUACCAGUUUGUGUUAAUUUCAGGAUGUGUCUUUUGUUUUUUUGGGAGAUUUCAGUGGUGAUCAUGUCGUUGAAGAAUAUUUUGACUCGAAUUGAUAGGACUACACUUGAAUGAAAUACGUGCCUUUUGAUUAAUUGAUUUUUAUGUGAUUUGCACUUUGGAUGGUGUUAUGCAUGUGCUCUGAUAAAAUAACGUAUGAAGUCUCUUUACGAAGUCCAGAACUACGACUACAACCAUAUUUGUAUCUGUAACAUUACAUUUCCUGUGAACGACAUGCAUAUUUGGAUAUUAAAUGAUGAAUCCCAUUUAUAGUUAAGCUCCCAUUGAACUCCUUAUGGUUUUUUUUUUUAAUUCUAAUAUGUUGUUUCUUCAAUUCUAUUUUGUAAAUAUGCAUACAAUUUAUACAGUUUGUACUCAGGAUUUGGAAUGAGAAAGACAAUAUACUUGAA